CUCCUGGGGGAGGAGGUUCUGGAGGAAUGCCUGGCUGCUGCGGUUCAGGCGUUUGGAAGUUCUUGUGUGCUGGAGAUGUGGCUGGGGUUUGUCUCACAGUGGAAGCGAGGAAUUGCAACUUUUUUCUGUUAUUGUACACCUUGAAGCCUCCCUUCACCACCUGAGACUCUUUUCAGGAAGGACAUGAGCCAAUGCAGUCCAUGAGAGCUGGCUACGGAAGGGGACAUCCUUGCUCCUUCUUACCCCUGCUUAUCCUCAGCUGUAAUCUGGUGACUAAAUGGCUUCUCCUUCCAUCAGCAAGGGGACAGUGAAACCAGGCAUGGUGUUGGUCACUCUGGAUAAAACCCUUAACUGAUGACUCCAUUGGUAAGGACAAAGCAGAGUGAAAUACCUGAUAAUGAGGUAAAUCUCUUUUGGAAUCUGAAGAAAGGUGAGAAGUGAAUGGGUGUUAGUAAGACGAUAAGAGAAGAAAAAUUCUCAAAGAUGGAAGAAGGAGAAAGUAAAAAGAACCAAUUGUAGGGCAGUAUUUUAAACAAGUGUUUUUUUCAUUUAUCAAUUAGAGAAUCUGACUUUUUUUAUUUCUUAAGCCAGUUCUUAGAAAAUUGCCAUCUUCCACAUUUCUUAUUCAGAUACCUCCACAAAAGGAGAAAUUUGGCAGCUUUAUAUUCUGGGGUUUUGUGAGAAAAAUUCAUUUUGUCACCCAGAGUCAGCUGCUGAGAAAAAAAAAUAGCAGCAGGACCUUUUCCUCUCGUUGUUAUUCAAAUACAACCCAGUUCUCCAGGCUGACUGAGGAAUAAGUUGGAAGCAAGCAGUGAGCAGAGACUAAUGCCUUAAUUGGCUAUUAAUAUAUGGUCACUGCUAUUCUUAGAAAUAACUGGUGUUUCAAUAACUACCUCAAAAGUGGAGUUCAGAUUUCAUGGCUGUGUUCUAUCACACAUAAAACCAGGAAGAGUUGAUGGGUAAUAGGUUGGACCACGAUGUCAUUUCUGGAAAGCUCCAGUUACAUUUGCUAUUGCUUUAAAAAGUCAUGCUUGGAAGGUUGCCUGGUAACCUGAUUUAUCUUGAAUAUUAAUAAUUCACCCAUCAGGAAACUACCUUGCCUGUAACUCAGUGUCAAAAUUGAACACCUCUUUGACUAUGUGGUCUGCAAGGUAAUGGUGGUGGGGUUGGAAGUAAAUUAGUUAAAUUUGGUUAGAGAAUGAAUCUGAUAAUGUGUUUAUCCAACUUGCGAAGAAUUUAGAUGUUGUUAAAGGAUAUAAAGUAUAUCAUCUUAAAGAAUUGAAAUGGGGAUUUCUUUCUAAGUUCUACGUAAUUGUUACUUGAUAAACUCAGAUGACAUCUCACACUGAAAGUUCACUAACCACAUAAUUAAUAGGGACAUGUAUUAUUGAUGUACUAAGACUACUUAAUAACACUUCGGUUCCAUUUACAGAAGGAUAAAAUAGUCACCAGGCGUGAGAUCAAUAAAUCACAAGUUUUGAGUGUUAUAUUUACAGCCUGAGAGUCAAGUAACUCUUCAUCAUUGAACAGUCUCCCACUUGGAACUAUGAGUGACCUGUUUCAGGUUUGUUGAGUGCCCUUGUGAAAAAAUUCUAAGCUAUGGAAACCAUUAUUUUCCCCCUGUGAAAUGUCCCCAUAGUACUUAGUUGGGCCUCCUUCCCUAUGUGGACGCUUUGAGACGUCACAGAGGCAAGCAGUACCAAAGAUCAUGAAAGAUUUGGUGGUUACAAACACACCUUGGUUCGCAUCCAGCAACUGUCUCCCAAAUUCAGCUGGGUCUGACAUAGCAGCUGAGCUUCCUGCUCAAUUUGGCCCCAACUCUGCCCAGACAGAGGACUUCUCUGUUUCCACUAGAACGAGCCAGGAACAAAAACUCCAUCCAUCUAAAAAUGCUUGAAAUAAUUCUAGUGUUGGGGAAGACAAAGAGAAAAUAACCGUGUGGUUUCACUGUAAGGAUUUAGGUAUAAGGAAGGGAAAUGGUGUCAGUCAGGGAUUACAUCCUCAUAUGCCACUUGAGGAACCAAAUACCUCCUAAGAAACAACCCACAUCCGACCCUAAACCCUCAGAUGCCAGGAAUCAUUAAGAGCAUUCACCACAGGAGAAAAUUUCUCUGUUAAACUAAAGAUAAACCACUGUGCCCCAAUUCCCAGAUGAUGGAAAUGGGGCUUUAAAUGAUAUAAUGAGUCACAUUUGCAUUCUUUUUAGAAGAUAAACAGCCAAUUUAUUUUUUACCUUGAAUGGCAUGUCUUUUAGUAAUGUGAUUGAGGAGAUAAAAUAACCAGUGGUAACUGAUUAACUAUUUUAAGUCAUUGUGUUCAAAAUGUAUGAUAUAUUAGUUCACUUAUCCAGAAGUGAUCUCAAUGAUUAGGAUUUGAGCCAAGGAAAUAAGCAAAGCAGCUAAGUGAAGUGUAAGCAACUGAAAUACUCACAAAUUGCACCCUCUCUCUUAUGCUCUGAACUCACAGAAGAGGGCCUUAGAGCACUCCCCAGUAUCUAUUUAUUUUAUUUAAGAUACAAUUCUAAUAGCAAAAUGGAAAUAGUUGUUGCAAAGAGAUAAAAAGGAUGCUGUCCAAGUCAGGCAACUGAAAGUGGCAAGAAAUGACAGAACUGACAAUGAUAAAAGAAAUGGAUAAAUCAAAAUGGCAGGAAAAAAAUUCAUGAACAUUUUCUCAGUGUGGGACCAUUCUGCGUAGAGUAAAAUAAAAAUAAUUAAGCAAAACACAGAUUUGGUGUUCACAUUUCAUAACCCUCUAAUAUCAGAAAAUAUGCGAUCUGUGUUAGGAAGACAAUUGAUGUGUCUUAGAAAUAGUUCCAACAUAAAAGGUUAAGUUAUUUUUAAUUCAGUCAUCUUGAAAAUAAGUGCAAUGCUAACUCCUCAUGUUGUUCUUCAUGGAUUACAAGGAAGCAGUGGAGUAUCACAGUUAAAAGGAUGCAUAUGGUUCCCAACUGCCCAGAUUUCAAAUCCCAGCUAUGCCAUGUGUGACCUUGGACAACUCACUUAACGUCUCUGAAGCUCAGUUCCUCCACUGCAAAAUGGGUAGUGGUAAGGAUUUAAUGAGUUAAUGUAUACAAAGCAUUGGAAGAGUACCUGGCACAUAGAAAGUGUUAGAUAAGCAUUCUCUACAAAGAUAUUUGCAUUUACCAAGUACCUAAUGUGUGUCAGGUACUGGGAAGGGUGCUGUGAUCUUUAUCAUUAUAUUUUAUAAGCUUUUACUACAUGAAGUGAAACACCAGAAUCUUGCCUUCAAUAUUCCUCAAGCCCAGCGUAACUGGCAAUAAAGAGUUAUCAACCCUAGUACAACACAAUGUAAUCCAUUAUACCUAAAGUUCUUUUAACCUGAUUUCUGCCAUAGUAAUUAACUUUUGUUUCUUGAAACUUUAUGUCCAUUUUGGUUGGCUACUAUUCUAUCUCUCUGUGAAAUGUUCCCCUCUCUUCAUUUUGCAUGUAUAUUCAUCACCUUUUCUGUUCAGUUACUAUUUUAGACCUCAAGGAUCCAAUGAUCUGGGAACACAGUUCAUCUGAGGAUAGGCAUUACAAGGUAAAAACAGUGUUGAUAAAAGUUCUGUGUCCCUGAUGGUGUGAAGAAGAAAUGUGCAAUCAUUUUCAGGAUGAUUCACAGUGUCGACAGUUUGGAGCAAUUUCCUGAAGAAAGGACAAAACUGGAAGCUAUUCUUUAUGAUCAAAAUUGGGAGCAGGGGGGAAUAAAACACCCCAAAGACACAAGGUGACCUGUCUCAGUGGGGUGACCUAGUGCACCAGCCAGCUAAUGAUGCCCGUCUGUCAGCUGGGCCCCGGGUGCCAGAGCCCGAGGGAGAGGAGACCAACCCUGACAGAUGGUGGCGGCUUUGCUGAUUAUAGAGCUCAGUUGGACCAAGGCUCUAUUUUAUUCCCUGCACCAAGGUCCCUUCUGAACAUAGGCUGUUUACUUAAAACAUAUCCAUUCCUGUUUCUGCUCAUCAUAUUCUUAGGAUAAAAAUGAACAUAGGCAGCUGUUGCAUUUUUUGGUACUAAAUAUUCAAUUCUGCUUUGUGUUAAGGAAAUUUAUAAUCCAUUUUACCCCAUAAUUAUUCUUUAUAAGUGAGAAAUCAAAUCCGAAGUGGCAACAGAGAGUGGACUCUAGGAAAAGAAAUUCAAAUAGGCAUUGCCUUUGGUUAUGCUAUUUCUCUGCAUGAGACAUUCAGACUUUUAUAUUAUCCCACUAAAAAAGGAAACAGCAACCAAAUUUAGCAAGUUGGUGUUUUCAAGCACAAAAGAAUGUCAGGCCAGGAGCUUGGUUCUUCCUUUGCCUUCUGCUUGAGAAAUCUCAGCUCUCCUUCUCAGAGUAAUUAAAAAGUGACUUUAGAAUGUUAUGCCCCCAAAGUCAUUGAACUUCACAUCCAGCCACAUAUAAACAUUUAAGACUAGGGGGAACAAAAGUCCAGUAGUGCAUGGACAGAAGGGUCAUAAGGAAGAAAAGCAACACUGGAAAAAUGAUCCCAACCCUCUGCCACCCGAAACCUCAGGGAGGAAAAAUGUCAUUCCAGGCGGCAGCUGUGAAUUACAACAUGCCCAGGAACUUACUCGGGCCCCUUCAGGCUGAGUCUCAUGCUGUUUGGAAAAGUGGCAGGGGGUUAUAUUUUCACACCCAGCUGUUGCUUUAUGACUUAGUAGGCAAGAAGUUGUGGAGGCUUCCCCAGCUACACAACACUGACUUAUUUAGAGCUCCUGCCUGCAGUGGCUAAUGAAGGUAGGACAAUGGGGCAGGUGUCUCAGCAGACACAGAUUCUGAACCAAGUUAAGUGGGUGAUGUAAGCUAUAAGCCAUAGCCCCAUUAUAAAGGCGAGGCUCUGUAACCUCAUUGGCCAGCUAUCUUGGUAGCUUCAUAUGGCUGCUGCUUUUUGGCAUCUAGAAAACAGCCCUUCCAUUUUUAAAGACUGCAGAAGGAAAGGCUUGAAUAGAGGAAGAGGAGGCUAUCCUCCAACUUCCUAAUCAUUAUCCAGCACAGGCUUUGGUAGGUUACAUAUGCUCAACAAAAUAGCAUGGUUUAGAGAAGAGAACACUGAACAAAGAAUCUAGAAAUGAGUAUUUUAUUCUUAGCUCUGCCACUUUGGAAGAGUUACUUUUUAUCUCUGCAUUUCCAUUUCUGCAACUGUAAAAUAAGGGAAUUAUCUGCUAUGCCCUGGGGUUGGCAAACCUUUUCUGAUUCUUUGGUUUAAGAAUAAUGGGGGCCCCAAUGAGCAGAUCAGUAGUUUAUCUUUAAGCAGUAUUGAUUCAUUUGAGCAUAAUGGGUCAGGAAUCUGUAAUUCUGGUGAUCUUUCCAUAUUGGGAAACACUGAACUACAUGUCUGCUAAGAUGAGAUGGUUCUGUAUCUCCUGGGAGAUCCUUCCUAAAGGAACUGCAGAUAAAAGCCAAUAGAGUGGAAAUUCUUCUUAUCUCUCAGCAUCAAUAGUACAAUAGCGAUCUAGCUAGCACUGUUCAAUAGAACUUUCUGUGAUGGUGGAAAUGUCUAAUAUCUGCACUGUCCAAUACUGCAGCCACUUUCUACAUGUGAUUAUUGGUCACUUAAAUUGUAGCUAAUGGGGCUGAGGGACUGAAUUUUAAUACUGUUUAAUGUUAAUUCAUUUAAAUGUAAAAGCACAUACUUUCCCAUUUUGGACAGCACAGAUGCUACCAUGUUUUGCUGCAAGAAGGUAACAAGUGUUAUGCUGUGGUCAAAUGAAAAACAGGUCUUUAUUUCCAUUUUUACCUUCCUGGGCAGUAUGGGGGAAAGGGCAAGGCUUUGUGACUCAGUUUCCUUAUCUCUCAAAUUCAGAUGGUAAUAUCUACUUCACAGUAUUGUUCAGAAGAUUUAAACUAGAUAUGUGAACACCUUUGAGAACCAUAAUAAGAUCAAUAGAUGCAAGAUAUUAUAAGGGGUUGAAAGUUGAUUUUGUCUCAGUACAAACACAGUGACAUCUGAGAACAUAUAACUAAAUGUGGGUGGAGAUUGGUAAUGUCAGAUGUGAGAGGUCGAAAAUAAAGAGGGGAAACUACAAAGUAAAUGUCAAAGGCAGAGUAGAUGAAAAGGGAGAGUAAUAAAAAAAAGUCAAGACAUGUGGCAUAAGGUAGUGAGGAAGAGGGUGCAGUGGAGGUAUCUGGUGGGAGGACAUUUCAGGGUUGAGAAUUGCUCAUGAUGAGAGGUGCAUGGACAGGUGUCAAUUUUGAGUGACAGUAAAUGGGAAAACCAUUAAGUUGAAUUAGGACACUUAGUUUUCCAUUUACCUGACUGCCUUAGAGAAAGGUAUCUGGAGGGAUUUGGACAGGAGCCAGAUAGGCCAGAAGAAUUUAUGCUGUUCAACAGUAAUGUGGAUGGUUCAGUUUAGAAAGGCGAUGACAGCACUGGAUUAUUUGGGGUGAGUCCAUAAGCCUUCUUACAUAUAAAGGGCUCUGGAAAGGAAGCAUAUACUGUAGCAGAGAUGAAGAAAGCCUUGUUUGACAAAGAUGUCCUGAGAUCCUAUCAAUCACACAAAGUAGAACAUCACUGUGAAGGCAGUCAGUUGGAAAAGGGUGAUCUUGAACCUGGCUUGGCAUAGUGUCCUACUCCUUAGAGUAGAGGGAAUGAAAGAUGCAAUAGGAGACAAAAUGAGUUAAAGAACAUCCUGGGAGCUUUCUAGCACUUAUGAAAAUGGCAACUUGCCAUCUACCUCACUGUCCUUUUCCUGUCCUACUACAAACUGAGAAGGAUUAAUGUUGGAGUCUGCCUGGGUUCAAAUCCAAGCCCUACCAUUUAAUAGCUGUGGUAGCUUGUAAUAGCUUGGGCUGGAAACAAACUCUCUAAGUCACAUGUUUCUUCAUUAUGGGGAUAUAAUAGCACCUGCUCCAGAGAAGUAAGUAAAAUAAUUGAUGUACAAAUUAGCACAGCCCCUAGUCCACAGAAAACACUAAAAACUAUGUUUGUUAAAUAUAAUAUCUCAAACUUCCCAA
This is a long non-coding RNA of Gorilla gorilla gorilla (western lowland gorilla), 6945 nucleotides long. RefSeq lists it as uncharacterized. The record is from RefSeq and is a predicted model, not a curated record. NCBI's taxonomy places the organism in Eukaryota, Metazoa, Chordata, Mammalia, Primates, Hominidae. The transcript is spliced from 4 exons.